ACAUGGGCGAAAGCUCAUCCAGCUUAUCCGCGUGCAGGACGAAGGCCUUCGGGUUGUAAACUGCUUUUGUACGGAACGAAAAAGUUUCAGCUAAUACCUGGGACCCAUGACGGUACCGUAAGAAUAAGCACCGGCUAACUACGCGCCAGCAGCCGCGGUAAUACGUAGGGUGCGAGCGUUAAUCGGAAUUACUGGGCGUAAAGCGUGCGCAGGCGGUCUUGUAAGACAGAUGUGAAAUCCCCGGGCUCAACCUGGGAACUGCAUUUGUGACUGCAAGGCUAGAGUGCGGCAGAGGGGGAUGGAAUUCCGCGUGUAGCAGUGAAAUGCGUAGAUAUGCC
Molecule: ribosomal RNA, 338 nt
Filed under: uncultured bacterium
Lineage: Bacteria
Description: bacterial SSU rRNA
Rfam family: Bacterial small subunit ribosomal RNA
Source: RNAcentral